RNAcentral lists this long non-coding RNA (540 nucleotides) under Solanum tuberosum (potato). Its description in RNAcentral is "long non-coding RNA (STUB_LNC005826)". Lineage: Eukaryota; Viridiplantae; Streptophyta; Magnoliopsida; Solanales; Solanaceae. The record is from RNAcentral.
AUUAUAAUUUAUUUUUUUGUAUAUGUAAUUCAUAGAAUUGUGUAUAUAUAUGUAUCGUGCUAGUGCCAAUAAAUAAAAUUAUUUGGUGUUGAGUUUGCAAAUAUAUCAAUCUAACAUAUAUGAUUUUCGAUCCUCUAUAUUGAUUUCUCAAUUCCAUCACAUGUUUUCCCCCUUAAAAUCUUUCAAUACAUAAGAGGAAGUACUCAAAGACGUAAACAAUUCAAUACUUAUUAUAGUAACUUUGAAAAAGAACACUAAUUUAAUUCAUCCAAAUUAUAGAUAAAUCGAUGGUAGCAACUUUUAACAAAGAAAGAUCAGAAACUACAUUUACUUAUAAUAAAAUAAAAUUGCAUCUCAUAUUCUUUGGUAUUUAAUAUAAAAAGUAGUGAAUAAAAAUAUGCAAUUUUUCUCUUUGCAUCAUGUAGUUUACUCUAUGUCAAUCUCUUUUGUUGUUCAUUGUCAAAUUUCCAAGUAAUAGGAUUGAAUUAAUGAAGAAAAAGAAAAAGCUCACCUAUAUAUUUGAGAUAAACUUCAUAUAAA